GGCAACAAAACAACUCAGACAAGAGGAUUGAGGCAGUACGAUAGUUCAGGUCCCGAUACGAUGCUUAAAUUAAUUCAGUUUUAGCUGCGGUGGAGACGUACACCUUCGUAGCUGCAUAUCAGUAAGUGAGACAAUCUAUUUCCAAAUUUUUAAGUAAAUUACACAAGGAAAAGAAGGUUAUGCUUCAUUUUGAUCAGGAGAUCCACCAGGCACCAA
This 216-nucleotide unclassified non-coding RNA is filed under the name Hevea brasiliensis (rubber tree). The record is from RNAcentral. Lineage: Eukaryota; Viridiplantae; Streptophyta; Magnoliopsida; Malpighiales; Euphorbiaceae.